UCUCUAUCAAAGGUUAUUAGCAAUAUUUUAAGAGUUGCUUAGGUUAAAAAAUAAAUCAUAUUAAUGAAAAAAAACAAAUUUUGCUAGUAAUCGAUCUUUGUGUUAGAGAUUUAAGGAUCACUAAGGAUUGAGGUUGUUUCGACACCUGAUUGGUUAGAGAGAAAAAAAUAUAUAUAUAUAUAUAUAUUUUUUCCCUCGUUCUCUCUCGCGACUGGUCCAACGCCUUUGUCCGUCGUCAUCACCAUCUCCAUCGCCUGUGCAACCAGCGACGAUUCAAGUGGCGAAAUAAGAGUCUUUGGUUCAAUGAUGUUUCAAUCAGUUUUCAUUGAACAAGUUGCAGAAUUUGGCUGGACAACACUCAGAUGUCCUUAUGAACUUGACUCCGACAGUCAGGAAGCGUGUCAAGGUUCUAAGAGAGAUUAAUUUUGCUGCCACCGAGAUUCAGACUUGAGGGAAGCUUUGCAGCUGGUGCUAGUUCCCAAACUCUUCUCGCAAAAGGGCAUAGCAUGAGAAUGUGGAGUUUGGAUUAUUCAGCUCCACACCUUUUUUCUUAUUCUUUUAUGCCAUGUUUGUUUA
Long non-coding RNA from Camelina sativa (false flax), 576 nucleotides. RefSeq lists it as uncharacterized. The record is from RefSeq and is a predicted model, not a curated record. NCBI's taxonomy places the organism in Eukaryota, Viridiplantae, Streptophyta, Magnoliopsida, Brassicales, Brassicaceae.